ACUGCAAGUCGAGCGAACGGACGAGAAGCUUGCUUCUCUGAUGUUAGCGGCGGACGGGUGAGUAACACGUGGAUAACCUACCUAUAAGACUGGGAUAACUUCGGGAAACCGGAGCUAAUACCGGAUAAUAUUUUGAACCGCAUGGUUCAAAAGUGAAAGACGGUCUUGCUGUCACUUAUAGAUGGAUCCGCGCUGCAUUAGCUAGUUGGUAAGGUAACGGCUUACCAAGGCAACGAUGCAUAGCCGACCUGAGAGGGUGAUCGGCCACACUGGAACUGAGACACGGUCCAGACUCCUACGGGAGGCAGCAGUAGGGAAUCUUCCGCAAUGGGCGAAAGCCUGACGGAGCAACGCCGCGUGAGUGAUGAAGGUCUUCGGAUCGUAAAACUCUGUUAUUAGGGAAGAACAUAUGUGUAAGUAACUGUGCACAUCUUGACGGUACCUAAUCAGAAAGCCACGGCUAACUACGUGCCAGCAGCCGCGGUAAUACGUAGGUGGCAAGCGUUAUCCGGAAUUAUUGGGCGUAAAGCGCGCGUAGGCGGUUUUUUAAGUCUGAUGUGAAAGCCCACGGCUCAACCGUGGAGGGUCAUUGGAAACUGGAAAACUUGAGUGCAGAAGAGGAAAGUGGAAUUCCAUGUGUAGCGGUGAAAUGCGCAGAGAUAUGGAGGAACACCAGUGGGCGAAGGCGACUUUCUGGUCUGUAACUGACGCUGAUGUGCGAAAGCGUGGGGAUCAAACAGGAUUAGAUACCCNGGUAGNNACGCCGUAAACGAUGAGUGCUAAGUGUUAGGGGGUUUCCGCCCCUUAGUGCUGCAGCUAACGCAUUAAGCACUCCGCCUGGGGAGUACGACCGCAAGGUUGAAACUCAAAGGAAUUGACGGGGACCCGCACAAGCGGUGGAGCAUGUGGUUUAAUUCGAAGCAACGCGAAGAACCUUACCAAAUCUUGACAUCCUUUGACAACUCUAGAGAUAGAGCUUUCCCCUUCGGGGGACAAAGUGACAGGUGGUGCAUGGUUGUCGUCAGCUCGUGUCGUGAGAUGUUGGGUUAAGUCCCGCAACGAGCGCAACCCUUAAGCUUAGUUGCCAUCAUUAAGUUGGGCACUCUAAGUUGACUGCCGGUGACAAACCGGAGGAAGGUGGGGAUGACGUCAAAUCAUCAUGCCCCUUAUGAUUUGGGCUACACACGUGCUACAAUGGACAAUACAAAGGGCAGCGAAACCGCGAGGUCAAGCAAAUCCCAUAAAGUUGUUCUCAGUUCGGAUUGUAGUCUGCAACUCGACUACAUGAAGCUGGAAUCGCUAGUAAUCGUAGAUCAGCAUGCUACGGUGAAUACGUUCCCGGGUCUUGUACACACCGCCCGUCACACCACGAGAGUUUGUAACACCCGAAGCCGGUGGAGUAACCUUUUAGGAGCUAGCCGU
RNAcentral lists this ribosomal RNA (1422 nucleotides) under Staphylococcus aureus. RNAcentral's name for it is "bacterial SSU rRNA". It matches the Rfam family "Bacterial small subunit ribosomal RNA". Lineage: Bacteria; Bacillati; Bacillota; Bacilli; Caryophanales; Staphylococcaceae. The record is from RNAcentral.